GCCGGGAUAGCUCCGUUGGUAGAGCAGAGGACUGAAAAUCCUCGUGUCACC
This 51-nucleotide transfer RNA is filed under the name Plagiochasma japonicum. RNAcentral describes it as "partial tRNA-Phe". The record is from RNAcentral. Lineage: Eukaryota; Viridiplantae; Streptophyta; Marchantiopsida; Marchantiales; Aytoniaceae.